This is a long non-coding RNA of Oryza brachyantha (malo sina), 293 nucleotides long. RefSeq lists it as uncharacterized. The transcript has 3 exons. Lineage: Eukaryota; Viridiplantae; Streptophyta; Magnoliopsida; Poales; Poaceae. The record is from RefSeq and is a predicted model, not a curated record.
CCUCGCUCGGUUCUCUUCCCACCAUAGCCUGGCAUGCAUCUCGCUGAAUCUCUCUCGGCUGCAAAGCAAAGGGGAUGGGAUCCGGAACACUACCAAGACAUUAUUUACUAAUAUAAAGGAGGAUGGAAGAAAAACCUGAAUCGAACACGCCGGAGUUCUCUGAUACCGCCAGGCAGAGCCCGGAUGGUAAUAUAUACGCCAGGAGAUGAACUUGUCCUCAUUGAUGCAUCCAUUGAUGAGGUUUCUGUCUUGGCUCCACUUAUACUUGAGAGCUUGGGUGUUGAAACCAGCCC